CCAAGCAGAGAAUCCGAAUUUGAUUAGGAGGGAAAACAACACUUUAUCUUUCAAUAACUACAAGUAUUGUAUAUUGAAUUGAUUGAUGUAGCGCAUGUGGAUAACCGAUGUUAGGCAUUUGUUCUAGAUGAAUUUUCAACUAUAAGUAUUGUUUAUUAAUUGAUGUGGCAUGUGGAUGACCGAUGCUAACAUUUGCCCUAGAUCAAUAUCUAGAUAGUUGACUUAAAAGGAAUGUAUACUGAUUUCUAUAUAAUAUUCUUGGCUUCCAUGCGUGCUCCAACUUAUUACCAAGUUUGGUUUUCAUGUUAAAAAUCCAGUAUAAGCUACUUUAAAAGUCGAUGAACUAAUUGACACCCAUAUAAAAACUCAACUCUUUUUACACCCAUGGUACUAUGGUAGUACGGUACAUCCCAUGCUAGAGUUUCGAAGAAAAAUACUUAGAUUAAUUCUGUAGCAUAUUCUUCCAUUUUCUAACAACCGAAUAUCUUAUAAUCGAUUAAUUUCUUUAAGAAAACAUGGAUUUUCAAUAAAAAUCAUCGCUUAUUCUCAACAACAACAAAAAAGAAAAAAAAAAUCAUGGACUUUUAAAUUUUAAAAAAAUCAGCAUUUAAUAGAGUCAAUUUUAAAAAAUUCGAACCCUAAAUAAGAAAGUUUAUCCUCAAAGAAUGCUCCAUCACACACUUGUACUUCAGAGUUGGAAGGCAAAAUUAAGUUGAUGUACAUACAUAUUAAUUCCAGGUUUAUAAUAAUGAAUAUUUUAAUAUAAUUUAGGAAAUAAUAUCUGUUUUUGAUACUACGUUACUCAAGUAACAACUAGUUCUUCACUGUGUCUGCGUUAAUCGCUGCGCUGUAAAAAUCAUAUCUGCAAGUGCUUGAUUUUUGGUUGAUAUUAUCUGCAUAAAUACAACUCACAACCAAUUCAAAGUCCUUGUAAUAUCUAACGUAAUAUUCCUUGUAAUAAAUCGC
RNAcentral lists this long non-coding RNA (966 nucleotides) under Prunus persica (peach). RNAcentral describes it as "long non-coding RNA (PPER_LNC001878)". Lineage: Eukaryota; Viridiplantae; Streptophyta; Magnoliopsida; Rosales; Rosaceae. The record is from RNAcentral.